Molecule: ribosomal RNA, 320 nt
Filed under: uncultured bacterium
Lineage: Bacteria
Description: bacterial SSU rRNA
Rfam family: Bacterial small subunit ribosomal RNA
Source: RNAcentral
UGACGGUACCACUUGAAUAAGCUCCGGCUAACUACGUGCCAGCAGCCGCGGUAAUACGUAGGGAGCAAGCGUUAUCCGGAUUUACUGGGUGUAAAGGGCGUGUAGGCGGGACAUCAAGUCAGAUGUGAAAGCACGAGGCUCAACUUCGUGUCUGCAUUUGAAACUGACGUUCUUGAGUGUUGGAGAGGCUAACGGAACUCCUAGUGUAGCGGUGAAAUGCGUAGAUAUUAGGAAGAACACCAGUGGCGAAGGCGGUUAGCUGGACAAUAACUGACGCUGAGGCGCGAAAGCGUGGGCAGCAAACAGGAUUAGAUACCCUG